CCGUAAAUUGCUGCUUUGCUGACGAGUGGCGGACGGGUGAGUAAUGUCUGGGAAACUGCCUGAUGGAGGGGGAUAACUACUGGAAACGGUAGCUAAUACCGCAUAACGUCGCAAGACCAAAGAGGGGGACCUUCGGGCCUCUUGCCAUCGGAUGUGCCCAGAUGGGAUUAGCUAGUAGGUGGGGUAACGGCUCACCAAGGCGACGAUCCCUAGCUGGUCUGAGAGGAUGACCAGCCACACUGGAACUGAAACACGGUCCAAACUCCUACGGGAGGCAGCACGGGGGAAUAUUGCACAAUGGGCGCAAGCCUGAUGCAGCCAUGCCGCGUGUAUGAAGAAGGCCUUCGGGUUGUAAAGCACUUUCAGCGGGGAGGAAGGGAGUAAAGUUAAUACCUUUGCUCAUUGACGUUACCCGCAGAAGAAGCACCGGCUAACUCCGUGCCAGCAGCCGCGGUAAUACGGAGGGUGCAAGCGUUAAUCGGAAUUACUGGGCGUAAAGCGCACGCAGGCGGUUUGUUAAGUCACAUGUGAAAUCCCCGGGCUCAACCUGGGAACUGCAUCUGAUACUGGCAAGCUUGAGUCUCGCAGAGGGGGGUAGAAUUCCAGGCGUAGCGGCGAAAUGCGUAGAGAUCUGAAGGACUACCGGUGGCGA
RNAcentral lists this ribosomal RNA (652 nucleotides) under Escherichia coli. RNAcentral describes it as "bacterial SSU rRNA". It matches the Rfam family "Bacterial small subunit ribosomal RNA", at positions 67 to 718 of the family's 1533-position model. The record is from RNAcentral. Lineage: Bacteria; Pseudomonadati; Pseudomonadota; Gammaproteobacteria; Enterobacterales; Enterobacteriaceae.